Non-coding RNA from Rattus norvegicus (Norway rat), 32849 nucleotides. The record is from RefSeq and is a predicted model, not a curated record. NCBI's taxonomy places the organism in Eukaryota, Metazoa, Chordata, Mammalia, Rodentia, Muridae.
CUCUGUGGUGCUCAGUUGGAGCCCGCUCUGUCCACCCAGGGUUUGCUCUUGCCUAGACCACUGGUGGUAUCAUUUGCCCCUCAGCCUCCUGGUUUUCUGUCUAAACCUGAGGCGGGCCUGCCACAGGACUCAGGAGCCGGUGACAGAGGCCGAGCCUGUGUGGGAUUAAGGUCAACCUAGCAGGAACAGGUGGCCUGAGUUCAUAAAACCCCACAAACAGGUCCUCCCUCUCAAGGAGGGGACUCUCUCACGUUCCGUUUUACCCAACAUCCAAGUAAGGAGUCAAGGUACUUUUGUUGCCCUCUGGUUUGGGCCCCCACCUCUAGGACAGUUCUAACAGACUGUAACUGCCACCCCACCCCAGAAUCCAGACUGUCUGCCUGCGUGUCCACCAGAGUGUCUCCCAAGGGUUUGGCCAAUCAUCAAUUGCCAAGCUCCCAAGUCCUUAACAUAGAUGGUUGACAGUGCCCACUGUCGAGAAUUCUCAGAGAACCACUCCUAUCUCGUCUGAUAUUCUGUUGAGAGGGCUCUUUUGUUCCUCUAGAGUGAAAAAAGCCAAGCGCUAUUGGUCAAGCGCACCUGGUGCUUGGUCCAGGGGAAGCCUCCCUUCUGGACUCACUAACUGGUGACAGAGGCUGUCUGUGCAUGUGUGGGGUGAGGUCAGCCUAGCAGGGAACGGCCCAGCUCAGCCCCUUUGAGGAAGUCGAGUCUGCCACAAAGGGUCUGAGCAGCUUUCCUUGUGUUAUACCCCCCUCGCGCAUCAGCUGCUGUGACCAGUCUACAUUAGAGCCUCGCAACCUCGCAUGAGGGACAGCGACGACUCUGAUGGUCUCUAUGUCAUCACAUUGUCCAAGGUCCCUGCUGGCCUACAGAGGCUCUAAUUCUGGGGUUUCGUUGGAAUCAAGUUUUCUGCCACAGCCAAUGAAACAAGCUCAAAUGAAGACUACCAAACUGUCCUGGGACAAUGGAGUCAGGGCAGGGGUAUGGACAGUUCCAGACACAACCCCCUUCCCCUCCCAGCUGCCCUCAAAGUCCCAGCAAAGAGGCAUGGCCAUCGGUUCCCCCCACAAAAUCCAGGGGCCCCUACCUCAAAAGCAGGCCCCCUUUUGAUUCAGUCUCUUGGGGCCAAGAAGGCAGGCCUCCAUGGUUCUUCUAGAACACUAGUCCUUUUGUUUAGGCUGAUCAGGUAAGAAUAAUAAGACUCUGUAUACAUAGUAUAAUUUUGGGGCAGCAGGAAGGUACAGUGCCUACCUAGAAGUCCCUCGUGGUUCGUGAGGAAGUGAACCCCUUUGACUCUAGAAAGAAUUGAUUCUUCUAAAAGGAUGAGCAAAGGGGGACCCUGCCCUGGCUGCGUACCCCAGAGGUCAAAAUUCAGAUGGCCCCAGCUUCUUGGAUGCAGGCCACUUUGCCCCUCAGCUCCACAGCUGCCCCUGGUGGCCCACUGCUGUUGUGAAUCUUAACACCUGUGCCUGUCCUGUUGGCCUCCAAGGUCCAGUAUGUAAGUCACAAGUGCGACGAUUGUUUUGUUCAGAAUUGGGGUGGGAGAGGGGGGAGAGGUGAACUGCCCUGGCGAGUCUGCCCCUCAAGGUCAAGAAAUGGGUGAGCAUUAGGAGAAAGGAAGGCCUUGGCAGUCUUGCACAGAUUCACAUUUCUCACCUGAGCAAAGCCUUAAAAAUGCAGCCCCUUAGGGUCAUCCUUGGCCUGAGGCCUGGUAAACCCCUCUCAGAACACCCAAGAAAUGAAGGAGCCCGCCAAGUGGCUGAUCCGAGACUCUCUCUCCCCCCUUGGCUCUUUCUUCCCUAGAAGGGGACAUUGGGGAGAUUGUCACAGUGUCUUAUUACACUCUGGGUCCUAGGCAGAGAGAAUGCAGGAAUGAAAGGUCCCCCUUCCCAGAUGAAAAACUCAGAGUCCCAAAGGUUCUCCUCUCAUCUGUGAAAGACAUUUCUGAGCAUCUUGACAAUCAGAAAAAGCCCCAAAUCUUCCCCCUACUUCACUGACAAACCCAUCACAUGAGUCAAGAAAUAUCCCCUAAAUAUAGUGGGUAGCUACCCCACUGAGGAUCCUCCACUCUAUUAUCCAAAGGUUCUCCAGUCCUACUUAAGAGCCUGUGUGUUGCUGGCUGAUCAGAGUCCCUUGAUUUUUUUUCCCCCCUGUCUCCCUGUCUCCAACCAGACCUGAGUGGCCAAGGAAGUCACUAACUUCUGCUAGCUAAGAGCUGAUUGACCUCAGUCUGAGUAUUCCGUAUUCUCUCUCGGGUACCUUGUCCCCCCCUCAUGCCAGCAUUUCUUCAAGAGGCUCACAUGUGUGCCCGGAUAAGAAGCUCAUGCCCAGAGGUGCGCCAUCCACAGAGUAUCUCACAGUAUUAAUCCCUUUGGGCCAAGGGAGCGAAUGCUUGUCCCAGACCCAGACCAUACAUCCCUGGGUGAGGGGCCUCCACCCUGACAUACUCCAUCUAUCAUGAUGUCCCUGCAAUGUCUAUCCUGCUCUUAGUUUCGAUGUCUGCAAGCCUUGUCUUUCCUGGAUCUUGCUUUGCGACUGGCCCCCAGUACGAACAGAGGCUCCGGAGAGCGGCAGGUUUGAGGAAAAGGCAUUUUCAAUCUCUCUGGUACCACGCGUGAAGCGGCCUACAGUUAAGUGUCCUCUGAUCCCCACUUUCUCCUGCACCCGUGAACGGUCUCUACUGGGGACCAGCGCCAGGUUCCUCUACUACGGGCGGAAACCUUAAACGGCCGUGUGAAGGGACGCAGGGGAGAGCGCGGAGACAGAUCCCCACUGCACAGAAAUGUGAAAGCACCCCAGCCUUCAACAACCUGUCUUUGACCCGAGACAAACGCCAAGAAAAACCAGUUGUGGGUGUGGCCACAUUUAUCCCCGCCCCUCAGAACCACCAACCGCUGCACACCGUGGGACUGGAGGUGUGGUCAAACCUGCUGUGCCACGCCCCUCGGUGCCUCCCUGCUCGGGGAGUAUGGUCAAGCCGCCCACACCAAGCCUGCGGCUGCCAGUGGACUCCGCAGAGAUCUGGGGUAGGGGGUUGGGAAGUGUCAAUCAGCCUCGAUCCAGCUCUAGCCACGCCCAUAACUGUCUCCAACCGUCGUAGGCUAGAGAUCCUGGGGGUGGGGCCAAACAAGCCCAGCGCCUUGCCCUUUUUCACACAGCUCCACCAACCUUGGGGUCACUCUGCUUUGAGGUCCCAAGGAGUGUAAACGUGCAGACCUCCGCUACCCCGGACUCCCGGGCUAAAGGAAAGGAUCGAAGGAGAGAGUUUCCAGAGACAUCUCUGAUUUCAAAUAUCCUGUCCCGUUGUCAGACAGAGCAGCCCCUCUGAACUUUGGAGAAUUGAAUACCCUUAAUGCACUUUGAGAGGGCCUGGAUUAAACUGCCCGGAAAUUAUUGAGGGCUUUCGGCUCCGGUGGAAGUCUCAGCUAGAUCGGAUGCCUUGACACACCGGAUUGUCCUCGAGGCCAAAACCCUCUUUAUUUAGAGGUUACCUUCUAAAGUCUUGAACUGGAAUCGACUAUUGCCUGUUCUAUGGCAUUGAGUGAGGAGAGAGAUGGGAAUAGGGUGGUUCCAGGAGCUGCUGUCAUUUCAACCAAUUAGACUGAAAGCCCUGGCCAGAAGUUUUUUGAGUACUUUUUAAGGCUCUAUUUCCAUCUACCUUGAGGUCAGAAGACCUUGCCCCCUCCACCAGCAGCCUCUGGACACAAGAGAUGGAUGGCCUGCCAGACUUCUAAUGUUCCUGGUCUGCAGCGUCCUCUCCUACACUGGAUCAUCUGUCCUCUUUUAGGAUCUGCCUCUCUCCUGUCCACUCUGCCCUUCCCACAAGCUCCCAGAGUCUGGUAGGAGGGAGUGGCGACAGGAGAGGAGGCAAACUAACCAAGAGUGCUCUCAUAGAACUCGCUGGAAGUGAUUUCCAUCUGUCACCCAUCUCUGCCUCCCCUUCCCCAUCCCCCAAAGCGUCCCUUUUAAAUAAGAUGUUUUAAGAACAUGAGGCAAAUGGAUCGGGUUUGGAGGCAGAGGGAGAUUUGGCUGCGAAGUGACCGUAUCAGAUAAGAGUCCAUCACUGAAAGUUUUGGGUCGUAUUUGUGUUAGGAGUCAAAGCUUGGUCCCUUGCCAUCCUCAUAAACAACGCUAGGUUCAUCCACCCGUCUUCAAUGGGUCAAAUAAAUCACAACCACAAUGGCCAAAAAAAAAAAAAAAAAGGCAGAAAAUGAAGAUUUAUUCAAUGUGGCCACACUGGGAAGAGGAACCGGAGAUCUUGUGACCUUCAUGUCCCAUCUUCCAGGCCAUGACAUGAGGUUUGGGUUUAAAUAGAGGGCAAGAAGUGUACCUAGCUAAGCAGUCUUUGUCAGGGUGCACUGUCCCGAUAACCCAGGAAUACAGCAGGUCUUGCAGCUUGCUGGUUAGCCUAGCCUCCUGCAAAGAGACAGGCAAGCUUGUGUUUUGGUCAUCUUGCCUCUCUGGUCCUGAAAAGGACCAAACUCCCAACAAUUUUUUCCAGAAGGAAAAUGAGAAGCUAGGAGAGGCCAGACCCAUGAGGGUCAAGAGUAUUAAGAUACUUUGUGUUGUCCUUAUUAUUUUGGUUAAGUUCUUGGCCUCUCCAUAGUCCAAACCCUGAGACAUCAUGGAAGUGGGAAGCAGAAAGACACACAGACUGUAACUGGUUUUAGAGAAGCCCAGAUGGAUAGCUGGUCUUUGCUCUUUUGUGGGUUCUUCUUUUUCCCACCCUUUAUUGCCCUCCCCCACUGGUUUUGCCCUCCCAACACUAGGUAAGAGAGAGGGGAAAGAGAGAGGAGAGAGGUGGAAAGAAAUUGCACAUCUGAUUUCUUUUGUUUCUGCUUUGACCUCGGCUACUAACAAACCACAACCAACCUCCCUCUACAACGAACAACCACCUCUCAGGGCGGGGCGGAGGGGGAGGGGGAGCCCUCUGAAAAGUCCCCAGGAUUCCAAAGGUCACACCACCGCAGAAACUAUCUGCAAUUGGCGAAACCAUGCGUCUGCUGAGAGCACGAGGCAAAUCAUGGCCAGCUGCUUUGGACAGACGGAAGCAGCCCAUCCCCCACUCCCACCCCCACCCGACACAGAAGCACAUUCUCAUAAUAUUUCUGUGUUUUUUAAGGAAACCAAAAUCCUAGAGUUCUCGAAGGGAAAAAAAAAUCGUCACUACACAGAUCCCCUCCAAAAAGUGGGUGAGGUAGGGUCGUGUCCCCUUAUUCGGGCAUUCAGAACGGUCCUACAGUAGUAGGCAGAGGGGCCUGGGUGGCUGCUGUAAAGGGGCGGGUGGGGGUGGGGGGAUUGACCAAGAGCUCGAUGGAGCACACGGCUAGUCCCACAUCUUAAACCCCUUACGUGAAUUUGGAGACAGAAUGAUUUCCCCAGCCAGCCCGCACAUGACCCGGGAACUGCACUGGCCUUUUCCUCAGAGAGUGUUCAGGGACACACCACCAGACAGCUUGCAUCUAGGAGCCACAGCCUUGCGGCUCUCAGUUUGUCUUUCAGGCCAAACUAGAGGAACUCUCCAGAACCUCUGAAUAUAAGGGUCUCGUGCCCCUGGAAUCGUCCAUAAUUGCUAGGGAAUGGGACUUUGCUGGCUUAGUAAACUAUCGAAAUAUAUUCCAGAUUAACCUUGCCUCACAAGGGGUGUACGUCAGAGAGAGAGAGAGAGAGAGAGAGAGAGAGAGAGAGAGAGAGAGAGAGAGAGAGAUUGAUUUGGCCAUGGGUGGUGGAGUGCUGUACAAGCAAUGGGCAAGUUUUCUCAUUUGUUUGAUUUUUAACAGGUUAUUCUCAGCCAAAACCUAGACCAGCUAAAUCCAGGCUGGUUGCUAAAAGCCGGGGAAACCCAGAAAGCUGAAGUGGAGUUUUGCUAGAAGCUUCGGCUAGGGAUGGAAGAAGGAGGCUUUGAGGGUGAGGAGAGUCUGGCCAGCUCCUGCCAGAGCUGCACUGCCUAGCUGUCUCUGGAGGUGGACCUCCAUGCAAACGGCGUCAAUAUAUCAAGCACAUAUGGGGUCUCCUACAGCCCCCAGUCACACCUGGAGCCCCCUCCCCACUCCCUGAGCUGACUUCACAUUGAAAUUGCUUUCCUUGAGAUGGCCUUGCUCCAGGAUGGCCACUAAGGCAUUGCUAACGAAUUUACGAAACUUAAGGGAGAAAAUUCCUGUCUGGGGUAGGGUAGAGAGGGAGGUGUGGGGGGAGGGACCUGUACUGGAAUCUUGAUAAAUUGUAAAAUGUCUCCUUACAUCAUCCCCCCAGCCCAUAGUUGCCUGCCCCUUCAGUCCUCUGUGACCUCUGGCACAAAAGCCACCUCAGUGGUCCCGCUGAACUGAGCUCGCCAAGGUAGUGAUGGCCCACACACUCCAGAGCACCCAGUGAAGGGCUUGGCACCAGGCCCAGCGCACACCUUGGAAACUCUUUGUUUUUAGGUUUGUUUUUUUUUUUCUCUAAAUAUAAAACCCUGAGAGUUGUAUGUAAACCUGUUUAUUGGCGAGACUGAGUGUAGAUUCUACUGUUCUCUGUAGUUGGGGGUGUUCUCUGAGGCACUGCGAAUCGAGGAACCCUCCUCCCGCCGCCCAUGUGUCUUUGCCCCCUCUUCCUUACCUGAAUCUGAGUGGCUGGCUGUCUUGGACACUCUUGAGGCAGUCGGAUGCGUGGAAGGCAGAGCGUGUCGAGCCCAGCCCUGUUCCAGAGAUGAGCUGGCAGUCCCAGAGAUGGACAACCCUUCCUCCAGCCUCCACCUUGCUCUCUCUCCUCUCACCCAGUACCCACACUUCCGGCCACUCGUCCGUCCUGCACAUCUCUCAAGAUGGUCUGCGUAGACAGGCCGCUCCCGCCUUCUGUUUGGCAUGGGGAAUGCAGACCGCUCCUGUCUAGCUCCACUCAGCCCCCAGGGGCCCUGCCACCCACCCUGGCCCCUCCCGCUCAUCACCUGCUUGGUGUGUAGGGCUCUCUCCUUUAGGCUGCUCCUGGGAGUAACUGACAGUGAGGCCGGGGGCUGUCCUGGGUGGACGACAGGAGAGGCAGCAUUGCUUUUGCGUCAAUUGGGGUACAGGGAGACAUCAGAUGCUGUCACCCAGCCCUGGCGCACUCCUCAGAUCUUCCCUAAGCUGUCACCGCCCGCCCUCACCCUCUGGAAAGGCCAAUGCCUUAAGAACCAGAAGACUGCGCUUGACCGUUGGUAGUUACUGGCUAUGGUACUCAUCACUUGGCAGAAGACAAGCUGAGGUGGUACAUGGUGUGGCCAGGAUCAUCCCCGUCUCUACGAAUGAGGAGACUGGCAGCCAGUUAGUGGAAGGGAUUUGCAGAGGGGUCUUGACCAGUGGUGGCCAAACCAGAAGUAGAAUAGACCCCUAGGCAGGCACCAGCACCUCACAGGUGGUUGACCAUGAAACCUAGCUAGCAGUCUCUCUCCUGGCUCCCCCUCCCAUUCUGGUAGCUGAAGCCCUGGCUGCCUCCCAGGAGGAGGGGUCCUGCCGCAGAAGCCAGGUGUGAAAUCCCGUGCAGUGUGGAGCCACCAGAUGUCUUCUCUCCUAGUCUCUCUUGUGUUCCUGGCCCUGGUGCUUUUGCCAACAGGUGGCCUCGGAAGCUGCCCUCCAGCUGCUGCUGGGUCAGUCACCAAGAUCCCAAGUGCGGACAGAGAAAGAUAAAGAUAAAGACCAGGAAACCGUUGCUAACACAAUUGGCCCAGAGCAGAGAGUAAAUCGCCAGAAAUGGCCUGGAAGAGGCUAUAAAAGGAAAAUAAAACAGGAUAGUUAUUUAUGGCACGCAGUAAAAGAUCUGGGGGAAUCCUUGCCUUGCCGCCAGUGAGGCUUCGCUUCCCACACUCAGAGAGAGGCCCCUUACCACUUGAGCAGCUCGUAGCCAGACUGGCAGCCCCAGAAUUUUGGAGUCCCCCAUCCCCACAUUGAGGAGGGACAGUAGAAGAAACUUGUCUUCUAGCCCUCUUCUUAUCUUCAUAUCUGUUCCCUGCAGAAGCACCUCCCCUUUAAAGCCUCAGGACCUCGAAUCCCACUGUCAACCACCUUAUAGAGGAGUCUUGGAGUGCCUUAUCUCACUUGAUCCUUACGAAAACUCUGAGGGCAAGGGUGUGUGUGUGUGUGUGUGUGUGUGUGUGUGUGUGUGUGUGCGCGCGCGCGCCUACACACCUUGAAACUUAGGGGUUGUUAGAGGACUGGCUCAAGGUCACACAGCUAGUCAGUGGCAAAUCCAAGACUUUGGUCUAGGACUACCAAUUUCAAGAUCAAAGUCUUUUUCAAACCCAUCUCGUUAUUCUUGCUAGGACUAGAAGACUUUGAAAUUCAAUUCAUUGGCACUCACACUUCCAAUGUCCUCCUCAGUCAGGAGAUCCCAGAAGGCUGAAGAUUUCCAGGCCAAAGGGCACCUGAAGGCUCUGACGUGGAGAAAUGAAACUCCAGAGAUGGAGUAGUAGAUCCCCGGCUUCAGAGUCUAUGCCUGGACUUGCAGGGCCUAUCCACUCCGUCUGGCUCACCAGUGUACGAGCAGGUCACAGUGGUGUUCUAAAGAACAGCUGUCCGACAGGCCUCCAUAGGAAGCCAGAGGGCCUGGUCCUUGCAUCCCCUUCCUGGUAGCCUGAGGCACAUUCAGUGCCUGUCUACCAUCUCAAGUUCAAAGGUUAAGGCAAGUAGCAAGACGGCUCGAGCUCCUGUCCUGUCCUAACAGACUAUAACAUAUGAGUACAGAGGGAGGGGUCCUGGCAUGAGUAGACCCAAGCAGCCUCAGUCUUGGGACUCUUUCUUUGGUUGACUUGAGGGAUGUCCUUGGGGACAAUCCCUUUGCAGCGUGGUGCAGGAAGAGGUGAGAUUCGAGCCCAGAGCCAUUGUUGGUUCUCCCAGGCAAUGAGCGUAUGCCAGUGGAGGAGUCUGAGCCCCAGUGGUUCCCUUGGUAAGCACCGACAAGAAUGAUGGGAAUGGCACUAAGUAAAUUCCCACAUGCCCUUGGCUUGUAGGGUGCUGUGGCUACUACUGGCUGAGCAGAGUGGCCACCGAGACCCCUAUCUCAGCUGCCCUUAGUCUUGAGGUCUAUGGCCUCCUGAUACCCACGUCUCUAGAUCAAGGGCCUCUGGGUAGUAAAACAACCCUAAAACUGAGAGAAAAAAAGCCAACUCCAUAUAGACCAAGGGAGAGAUUUGAGGACUGUGCCAGACCCUGCAGGGUCACAGAGGGUAGGGUCUCAAGUCCCAACAGCAUCUUUAACUCUUUCCCCAAACAAUCCCCUCAGAGCUCCAUUCUGCUCCUUGCUCAUCUGCCCCAAGCCCAAACUGCUCUGCCCUCCACUCAUUCUGAGACCAAGCAGCCACCAAUCUGCAGUAAGGACCUGUGGUCUCCUAGCUGUCCUGGGGACUUGAAGGGGUCAGUCCUGGGGCUUUGAAGAUCUCUGGUCACCAGGCUGGUGACUCUGACUCCUAGGUUAACUUCCACACCUGUCGAGGGAAGCCCAGCUUUGAGAGCAUCCGUUGUCAACCCAGAGCACAGAUUUUGCAAAGUGACUUUGCAAGGGUGUAGUUUGUCCCAACCUACCGGACCAGUUUCUAGCAAUUGCUUCUUUUUCCUGUCUUUCACAUUGUAACUCCCCACCCCUGCACCCAACAAGGCUUGCAGAUUCCUAAGUGGGUUGGCCUAAGCUAGAUCCUGGAUCUGAAGGAAUCAAGUUUUGAAAUGAUUUACAGAAGAAUUUAAGGGUUCAGGGAACUUCCCAGAGCAGCAGCACAGUGGCCCCUUUGAAAAAGCCAUGUCAUGUCUAAUCCGUACUCUUUGAGAAUGGCCACCAGUCUGUAGCUUUUUCCUGCAUUUCUGAAAACAACUAGGGAUACUUGAGAGGGAAUGAGGCCUAGUCCUGUUACCCACAGAGAGCCUUUACCCUAAGAAACCCUAACUGCCACUUUGCUGGCUUAUCUGGGCUCCCCGGGGCUCCUGGAGGGCCUGGGUAGAGUUUUCUGUAGCCAGAGUACAGAGAGAGCAUUGGAGCCCUUGCCAGCUUGAGUGUCCUUGCCAAAUUCCACAAACAAGACCCCACCAGGUUCUUCCCUUGGGUCCCCAGACGGACACGUGGUUUAUUCGAACCAGAGUUACUGUCAUGCAAGUUUGACAGGAACACUGGGGGAGGGGGGGAGCGCUGGGUUCCCUUUGAAGCCGUUAGUUCUCCCCUGGGCUCCAAGGGCUCUGCCACCACUGUUUCUCUGCUGGUUGACUGCUAGUGGAUCCAGACGGCCCCUCUGACCCUGGCUAUGUGCUUGGGGGCUGAGGUGCUCAGGGCAGGACACCCUCACUCAGCUCCGUCCUCCUAGAGCUUGAGAGCCCAUAAAGUGAGAACAAUACCCCUGACAGUGUCUCAGAGAGUGGCUGCCGCUUCCCGCUUCCGUCCUCAGAGCUUGGGAACUGGCAAGGUUGGACGACUGGACACCUCGUGAGGAGAGGAGCCUGGAGUCUUGCACUCCAGCGAGGCCAAGUGUGGAUGAACAUUAAGCUUACUUUGAGGUGACUUAGCUUGGUGGCCUCUGGACCUCUGUAAAAGCCUUUCAGCAGCCAGAAAAUAAGGCCAAGUCAGACACGGGGACCAUGACCAUGGGUUUUUAGUACCUGGCCUGGGUCAUGAGUCUUUCUCCCUAUGUUGACGAGGCCAGUGGCAAUAUGGAGCAGCUCCAGACAGAGCUGACUCUUUUUCUCCCAGCCCCCUCUCAGCAACCAAGUUCCUUCUGUUUAUUCGUGUGCUGCUGCAAGUGCACUGACUUCCAUUGGCGUGUUGAUCUCUAGGCUGAGGAGCCUGUCUGUGAAGGGUACACUCUGCCCUUUAAGACCAAUGGACCAGGAGCAGAGGGAGCCAGGAGGACAGCCCCAGGUCUGGGGCAGUGAGGAGAAGAGGGAUGAUGGUGUUGGGAAGACUUGGAAUGACAACCUCUGGGGACCAAAUAGGUCAGAGCAUGUUGUUGUAAAAAAUAAUAAAAAUAAAAAAAUAAAAAUGAAACGGUAAAUGUUUUUCUCUGGGUGUUUUACCCUGCUUGGGUUCCACACCUCAGUGCCCCAGAUAUCUGCUGGAUAUCUUGGCGGAAACACAGCCCAGCCACACACUUUCUUACACUGAGACUCUUACAUAUAAAAACACACCACACAAUAAUCUUAGAUCCAAUUGGUAAGAUAUAAUUGCCCACUUAAACAUACAAAGCCCGAUACCAUCUAUCCCUUGCACCUUUUAUUUACCAAGUCUCCAGCUUCUUCUUCUCCCACAACGACUCCUUGCUUCUCCUCUCUCUCUCUUUUCUUUACUCACUCUCCCAAAUAUAUCAACUCUUUUAUGCUUUAGUUUCUCUUUCUCUUACAACGACUCCUAGCUUCUCCCCUCUCUCCAUCUCCUGUCUCCUCUAACUCUUCUCAGUUCCCCAUCCUGUCUCUAAACCGUUCCCUUCUCCUCCCCUCACUCUCAACUAUUCCAUCCUCUCCCCCUCCUGCUCAGGUUCCACUGGCUCAACUGUCACCAACUGUCCUCUCUAACCCUAUUCUCUGAAUCUAAUCCCCCUCUUGCUCCUGACUUUUCCCUCUGUCCAAAUCUCACGCUCUUGCCUUUAUUUACCAAAUUCAGAGAAAAUUUCAAGGCAAACCACAACAUUAGCAGCCUCUGGACCACGGGGCUCUGGCCUUCCACGGCCACCUCCCAGGGGCUGUGACCCCUAUGGGGUCCUGGAGUACCCUCUGACUGGAGUACCCACUGGCUGGAGUACUUCCCUCCCCUUGACUGGGACCUAGGCGUGAGUGAACCGGAACCCAGUGACUCUUGCUUUGUUCUCCUGUUUAAGAGGUGGACUUCACAAAGAAUCUUCUAGUCAGAACAACCCAUGGAGGGCCAGCUUACCCGCAACAGCCCUCGCCAUUGACCUGAACCCUGAAAAGUAACUGCCCGGGCCAGCAAGAAGAGCACACACAGUCUAUCUCUAGCUUCGGAGGGCAGAGAAGUGCUGACCACAGAGGAGCCCAGAAAGCAUUCUCUGGGACCCCGCUGCUGCUGCUGCCACCGCCGCCGCGCCGCUGCUGCCUGCGCACACCCUUGACUGAGCACUAGAUCCAUCCACGCAGGUUUCUGACCUCUAUUUGCCUCCUGGAGCCCCACCAUGCCUCUCGCCAAAGAACCAGUUGAGCUCUGCUCUGCACACUGGCACCCAAGAGGCACAGCCUCACACUACAUCGGCACCCUUUCUCCAUGUGAGAUAAUUCUCAGGGUGGACGGACAGACCUCAGCCUCUUCUCUCAAAUGAACCCCUGCUGAUGGAGAGGUCUGGGUAAAAGCCCACUGAGCUACGGGUCUGUGCAGCUGGGACAGAAGUCAGCCUCCUUCCUUGUCCCACCAGCCUCCUCAUCCCUUACCCUCCUUGUGCCCCAGCACCCAUGUCUGGAAGCCUGCGCCGCAGCCCUUCUUUCCCAGUCUAGAACCCACUCUAAGCCCAUCAUACAAUAGUGAGACCACUCUUAGUUGGAUGGUACGCUCUAGGGACCCCAUAAAAGGCUAGGAGCUGCAGGAAGAAGCUCCCAGGGUGCCAGCAGCUGAGCUCCAAGUAGGUAGUAUCAGGGUGGGGGAGUCCCUGGGGUACCUCGAGUUUGAGCAUAACUCUAACCAGAGGCAAGCUGGAGACUGAGGACAGCUGGGGGUCGGACAGUGACCAUUUUUGUGCCCUCUUGCAGGAGACAGACUGUUGAGGGAGUGGUUGGCUUUGUCUAAGAGGGAUGCCAAGCAAGUCUUCGCGAGAGGCUUUGGCAUAGAUGCAGGGGGUCCACCAUGUAGUGGGGGAGGUGCGUGGGUCUGGCAAACUUUUAAAUGCUGAGGUAGCUGCACUGCUCCCCCAGCUUCUCCUUCCUUUCUGGGGCACCCUGAUAUUUUCAUGGCAACGGAAAUCUUGCAACUCAACCAGUAGGUUGGAGGUGGCGUGGGGGAGAAGGGCUCAGUGACUUACCAUGGAAUACCACUCCAGAUGUGGUAACAGCCAGGACGUAGCCUUGACGGGAAUGGAAGGAGCAGAUGGCCAGAGACACUGGAGGCCUUGGCUGAGGAGGCAGAAGUGCCAGGCACCCACGGAAAGCCAGCAGCGUGUCUCCCUUCUUCCCUCAGCACACGCAGCCCCUCCCCAGUCUGGAAGAAGCUGCACUUGGCCACAGGAGGCAGUUUUGAGCUUUUUCUAGCAGUCCCAGAUUGUCGAAACUAACUGGCCCUCGCCAACAUUUCAUAAGGCCUUCCUAGUGAUACCAGCGUGGAUAUGAAAGUGUGUGUGUGUGUGUGUGUGUGUGUGUGUGUGUGUGUGUGUGUAUGCGCGCACACGCACGUGCGCGCAGAGGGGAAUUCCUCUCAAGGAAAAGCCCUGGACUGAAGAAGAGGGAAUACUGACUCACCCAACCUAGCCUAAGGUGUGAAUGACGGUGAAUGACUGCAGGAGGGGCCAUCCCAGGACGCGGCGUGCAGAACCUGAAGUUGGCCUUAGCGAAGCGUGCACGCCUCCAUUCUGUCCACUGCCCUCCCGUCCCUGGGCAGAAGUAGGAUGGGGUGGGGGUAGCUGACGGAGGCUUUACCUGUGGUUAAGAAGGACUUAGGAGAGUCUUACCCUGGUCUCCCGAGGCCCCUGUCUUGCUUGGCUCCUUUUCUGUCCUCCUCAGCUUCUCUGGCUGUUUGCUGAGCGUUUUCUCCACUGGGUCAAAGUCCGAAUGGACUGAAGCAACCGCGGGCCAGUAAGAUGCGGCAUCCUAAGAAGCGGCAGAGGGCAUCGAGGAAGUAUCCAGCCAGCCACCUUUCCUCCAUUUAUUUACCCCUGGGGCUUUAGGGAAGGGUCUCUUCUUCCUGCCUUUUCCAGGCCCACCCCACUCCUUUCCCACUGCACCAGGCCAGAGCCUCUCGCGAAGCCUUGCUUGGCCUCCCCAGCCCGAGCCCCAAGGGAGGAAGGAAAGGAGACCCAAACCCCAGUUCAGAUGAGCCACACCCCACUCCUCCCAGGUGAGCUUUUAGCUUUUGAAGUUGGCACAUUCUGUUUUCUGGGCUGGAAUGAGAAUGUGUCUUCCCCUCCUACCUCAAGCUUGGUCCCUUGAGCACACAUGACAAAGAGGGCUAGUUCUGGGAAGUCCCCCAUUGAGUCUGGAGCUCAGAGAAGGCCUCUACCUGGAUAAUUGGGUUUCUUGUCACCUCAGGCCUGUGUGGCCAGCUCAGCCUUGAGCUCAUGGUCCCUCUUCCUUACCUAGUUGGCCAUUUCUUGCCAAUUGUUCUUUUCCACUUUAACCCCCACUGUUAGUGACCUCCUUGUGCCCUGAGUUAUUUCCAGACCAGUCUCUGAGAAGGAGACUCCAUCGGGCCAUGCUGCUUCUUCACCCCAGGCCUCCCCUGGCUGGCUUGUUGUAAAUAUGGCUGCCCUCGGGUCAGCUGGGACCAACCAAGAUGAGUGCCUGUAGCACCCUACUCUCAGCCAGGCUGACUGGCCUUAGAAGAAGUCAUAAGCAUGGCGAGGCAGUAGCUGCUGUGUCUUAUUAGACUGUCAAGGGUCUGACAGACACUGAGGUACUGUCCUAGCUAGACCCUGGGGACCAUAUGUCAUGAAGAUUGUACAGAGCCAAACUGGCCCUCUGGCACCUAGUGGGCCUUCUAAGAAACAGAAGUGUGUCUGUAGAACAGAGGAGACUGCAUGGGGACCUGGCAGAGCCCAGGGACUCAGCGGGGGUCACAGGAGGAGAUGGAUCACUGAGAGGACAAGCAUAGCCCGAGGGCGGCUCCCGCUGAUGAAGGUCAGGCUGGUUCUGGGGUGGCUGGGCUUACCGCACCUGUUUGUCUGCGUUUCUGAGAUUGGACCUUUAAAGAACAAGAAGCGGUGAUCUGAUUCUGCAAUUCUUCUGCCCUUGCACCGUGGUUGUCGUCCCUGCCCACGCCCCCACUCCCAGGCCUCUCCACAGGCUGUGUCCAGUCUCAGCUAGUGCUGCUGGUGCAGGGAGGAGAGGGCACUUGAGAAUCAGGAACCCCAGGGACCUGCCUGGCAGCCCAGAGCCAGCCCACCAGCUCUCUGGGUAGCCAGAAAGGUUGGCUUGGCAUAGAGUCUCAAAGGUCACACUCCUUCCAGGUCACCAUAACUGAGUCUUGGACUUCAGAGUGGGGUUUUUUAAAAAGAGAAUAACAAUGAACCCCCUGAACAAAGGUGCUCAAAGAUGGCUGGCCCCUCUGGGUAGGCGGGUUUCCUCCUUAUGGGUUGGGUGGCUUCGGAGUGAGUCCAAACACUGUUUUUUGAUUUCCCAAACCUUGGGCUUGGUACCAGCCCUGCCAUUUUCUUUUCUCGGUCCUUAAAGUCCAAUCCUCUGUGCCUUUUUGUUCUCACCCCUCAGUCGAGCCUCUCCCAACCCGCGUGCAGGCCCAGGCCCAGCACUUACUGACCUGGCCCCCAGUGGUCACCCUGUUGUAGCUAACUGUGCCAGCCUGCAGGAUGGAUCUGGUGGGGGACAGAGGAUGAAAGUGGUCCCUGGCCAGCCAUAUGUAGACCUGGUCUUCCUAGAAGCCUGCCUGAGCCACCCUGUGGGGGUGAGCCCAGGGCUACUGUGCCCCUGCAGCACAUUUGGGGGAGGGGAAGGAGGGUGGGGGGAGGCCUCCCCCCCACCCCCAGCAAUCUGCUGGGAGCCACGAAAAUAGUGGCAACAAUUGCAAAAAAACAGAGGCACAUGGUUUGGGGGGCGGGGUGUUGCAUUUAGGGACAGUCGCCUGGAAUUGUUACCAAACUUUUGAAACACAAAAAACAACAAAGGAAUAAAAGCAGUCAGUAAUUAAGCACAUAACCGUGCACACCACUUGUUAAUUAAGCUUUUUCUCCUAAAACCUGACAGAAUCUGCUUACAAGGUGAUAGCUGAGGGGAGGUGACAUAUGGCAGGCCAUCUGUGACGCGAAAGCAUUACAAUGAGAGCUUCCCGCCCCCAUUGGAGGGGGGGUGCAGCAGGUGCUGUACAGAAGUUUCUGGAGUGGAGCGAUUGUCUUCAUUCUCUGCAGAAAAUGAGUUGAUAGUACACGGUGAGGACAGAACUACGGGAAGACACACGUGCUUCCGCUCUCCAAACUGUCUGCCCUGCAGCAGCAGCUGGAUUCGGCACUCCAUGGCCCAAGUUCUGUGCGUCUCUGCUUGGGCGACACUUACACGUCUCUGGAGCUCAGCUUUGAACUCUGGCAGAAAGGCAAAGAAGGGAGGGCAGCAACUGGAGAUGGCUCUUCAGAGAAGGAGAGUCAAAGGAACCAUGACCCUGCCCUCACCCCCCUCCCCCAGACCUGGGCUGACCUUCCCCCAUUAGCACAUGGGCCUCUGAGCCCAUCUCCCCUAAAGGACCAGGUCCUCACUGUAAAAUGGAGAUAUAUUACCCAACCUUGGGCAACGGCCUGGAGGGAGGGAGGCUCUGGUAAGAGGCUAGAAAACACUUAUUGAACUGACAGGAGGCUUUGGGCGCGUAUGGAGUUAUUGAUAAUCACUUGAACUCUAUACGUGAUGUUGAGAUUCUGUGCUCACUGAGCUCCUACCCUGUAGCUAGAGCUAUGCGGCAGGCCAAGCCCUGAGUCACGGGCUCCGGGGCCCUGAGGAGGGAGGACAGGCUGAUGACUUCGAAGAGAUCCUCCACCUGAUACCUGAUACCCACUUUCUCCUCCUGGGAAGGGGGAGAGACAAUUUUGCUGAACAAUACAGAAACGGCCCAGCUGCCUGCCCCUGCCCCUGCCCACCCAGAACAGACAACCUUUGGUCUCUUCUCUGUGGCCUUAGUUGAGUCACAUAGUACAAAGCACGGUGGUCUGUGCAUAGGGAAGCCCCCUGCCCCUGUGUGCUGUCCCCACAGGCCCCUCAGCCCAGUCACAGGGCUUGGGGACCUCAGUGAAAGGACCAAACGGCUGUUAACAAAUAUGGCUUCUCUCUUGCUUUAAGCCCUGUCUUUCUUUGAGUCUUAGAUGAGUGGAAAGGUGCUGUGUGCAUCCUGUGACAUCUGUCCCAGAGUUGGCUGAGCCACAUGAGGGACAAAUGGGAAUGUCAGCAGCCACAGCCCCUCGGGCAGGCGUCGCCCUGCCGGUCUAAUGCCCCACCCCUUUCUUUCACAGGAAUACCCUCUUCUGUGGGGGUGUUACCCAUGGCUUCCCAUACAUACACACAUCCUCAGGGCACCCUGACCAAAGGGAGGGCUGCUUACAGGUCCAGCUCUUCUGCCGGGUCUGUGGAGCUCCAAAUAUUUCCUCAAAACACUUGUUUCUCUGCAGGAAGCCCAGGCAGCCCCUGACCCAUGAGGAGAGCACGUGACCCUCCCCAGAAGUCAGGGGCCAGUACUACUGAGUGUACACAGACAGUGUCUGAGUAUCUUCUAGGGCCUUCUCCAUUGAGCAUCUGGGAUUUCUUACCGAGCCUUUAAAGGAAGGAGUAGAUGGUUCUAAAGCCCUGUCUGUGUCCCAAGUAGGGAUGUGUCACACAGACAUACAUUGGUGCCACAUCCUCAGCCAAGUUACCCCAGGACAGAAAGGGGGUGCUACUGCCCUAUCACCUCCCACAUGAGCAGGUUUUCAAAAAGGACUAGGGGGUCUGACAUCCCUGACUAACUCCUGCCCUACAGAGAAGGAGAAUCAGACAUCUAUACGCCCUCGAGGUUAGAGGGAGCAGGAGGUCUCUCUCUGGUCCUGGAGCCGCACCCUCCCCUAUACACUCAGAAUCCUAACUCAGGCUACCAGGUUCUACGAAUUCCAAUCAGGUGAACAAGGUGCCUCCAGCAGGUCGGUUGCAAGAGAGGAAAAGCCAACAUCUGUGGAUUUCGACAGGCUGUUUCCUGGGGUGGAGCCGAAGUGUGUCCGGGAGCUCAUAAAUGGCUGUUGUAUCUCUUAAGAAUUCAUUAAAUUGCCAAGAUUGGCAUCUCCUUUUGGACAUGCUUUUCUUGGGAGAAAAGGGGUGGUGAGAUUAGGACUUAGUUGGGGGUUGGGGGGUGGGAAGUGGAGGCCAGAGAAGAGCUCAGAACCCCCACAGGCCAGGCAGGUGCUCAUGAUGUAACCUCAGAGAGGAAAGGAACCGAGACUCUCACGUGUGCCUGCUCACGUGGCGCUAGGUAGGAUUUGCCAGCACAGUUCCAUCUCAGGGCUGCCCCGUGGCAGUGCUGAGGUUGAAUCAGCACAGAUCUUGGGCCAAGAAGGCAGGAUCUGUAAAGCCGGUCUCUGGUGAGGGGUUGGCCUAGAGUGGGGAUGGAGAGAGCUCUGUUCAGGCUCUCAGGUGAGGACCGUGGCUGCAGAGGCAAAGGGAACAGUAUAGGUUGAGCGUGAGUGGGCAACUAGCAUUCCUGAAAGGUGUCCUCAGGCUGGCCCAGUGAGGAAGGGGCUCCCAACUCUAGGCUAGGAGCAUUCUUCAUUAGCCCUCCUCUCCAGAGGAGGGAAUGGCCCAGUGAAGGCCUGAAAUGGUAGACAAAGACACAGAUCUCCACCAGUCUACCGAGUGCCUUCCCUCGUCCUGGAGGACCUACAGCCUAACAUGGCCCACCUGUAGCCGCCUGGACCCAGGUGUCUCUGGGAAGCUCCAAAAGCCAGGGGAAUCUCAGACAGCUGGGUGCUCACACCACACCCACCCCCAACCAGUGGGGGUGGGGGUCACUAUCACGUGGCUGUGAUCCAGGCACCCCUUUCCAGAGCCAGCUGAUGCUGGCAAGACCAAGAGGGAAAGGCUUCCGUCGCUCUAGAGUAUACAGAUCAGGUCCCCACUCCCUGUCCCUAGCUCCUCACUGGGCACUGCCUAUCAGUCCCUCCAAGCUAGGCCUAGGCCACAGAGAAACGAUGACCCCAGAAACAUCCCUUAAACGGGGAAAUGUGGGGGUAGGGGGAGCCAAGAACUUUGUCCUGGGAACCAGGCAGCCCUUCCAACUAUUCUGACCCCCAUUCUAUCUUGGCUUCUUUCUCAAGCCAGCUUAGAUAGAAAACCAUCCCUGCAGUCUGGCAGCCCCAGCCUGACCCCAUCCCCAACCCAUUGUCCCCAGGCACAGCCUCGAUCCUUCCGCACUCCAUUUCUUUGCUGUGGCCUCCUCUUUGUGUAUAUCCUGCAAUCCAGUCACACCUUCAUGCCGGAAGCUUCUAGAUGUGCAGGAGCUUGGAGGAGGAGGAAGUAGGUUCAGAACUGCUCUGUCCUAGUACUGGGGCCAAGGAUAAAGCUGGGAUUGGUGGGUGCAGCUGUUGAGAGGAAACUUCUCAGGGGGAGAUGGGGGACUACAAACAUUGUCUAGUAUAGCAUACGUGUUUGCCUGGACAUUGCAAGCAUGACCUAAGGGUACAGAGCUCAUCUCCGGAGGCCUUGCUCAGAACGAUGUGAAUCGUUAGCUCCUGGUACGGUGGCCCCAUGGCAGCUCAACCAAAGGAGCAUUUGUCUUCUUGUUAGAAGGAAUGAAAUUGGAAAGAAGGGCCCUGCCUCCCCCUUCCUGCAUAAAAGGACGACAAUCGAACGCUUUUCUUUGCUCCCAUAAAGUGAAGUGUGGGGGUGAUAGGCCUUCUGCCCCUCUCAUUGUUUUGUAUCCAGUCCUGACUCCUGACUCUGGACAUAUUCAGAGACCCUUCCCAAAGAGGGACCUGGGAAAGUUACCUCUUACCUUCCCCAGUGGUCACCCUUCCCACCAGGUCUCCCAACGAAGGAAUAAUCAAGCCACAAGACUUCUUAUACGCUUAACCAUUGACUCCUAACUCUUACAGAGUGUCAGACCCACUAUCUUAGAUUAGGUCAGGUUCUUCAUUCAUUCAUCCAUCCAUCCAUCCAUCCAUUCACCCACCCAUCCAUUCAUCGUUUACCCCAAAAUGAAAACGGUUAAGUUCCCAGAACCAAGUAGAGCACUGGGGAGAAAUGUGCCCUGGUGUUUUCCAGAGAACCCCAAAUGAAACCUCACUUGUAGAGGCAAAAAUGCUGCCCCAAAACCUUAAUGGGAAUGAGUCUCGAGACUUGCUUGUGAAUCAACCUCAAGUCUCCAAGCUCUCAUCUCUGCCUCCACUGUCUUCCCCAUGCCAGUGCACGGAAGCUUGCUUCAGGGUCUUGGGUAGGGUCAGCAGCAGCCCAGUGGUUCCAAAGGGCCUGGGCUCUGGAGCUGGGUCAUGCGUUGUAAUCUUCCCAAGAGGCCAGCUCUUAAACCCAGAGCACCAGUGAUGCUCUCACCCUGAGAGACGCAAAUGCCACGGGGACUCAAGAUGCCUCUCGCCAGCAUUAUUAAUUCCCUGCUUGGACAGAAAUUAAAUUGCAGGGUUUGCCCAUAUGAAGAGUUCUUUACUGAAGGAUACACCCACCUCACAGCAGCUUAGAGGGGUAUGGCAGGCAGCCAGACAGAGUCUUUGCGGCCUAUUAGCUCUUCCCCUGACUCUCAGCAUCAUCAGAAAGUUCUUGUGUGAGGUGGCUGGCUCUGCCCCAUGUUUAGCAGAGAUACUGAAACGCAGAUACUCAAUUUCCCAUACGUCUUUGCGAGUUUUCUGAUCAGGGGAGUAAGGUCAGAGAACUCUUCUUGUGCAAACCUCGGGGUGGGGUGCCUUGGAGGUACCAACGUGUCUCCUGAAGCAGCUCUAAACAGUCUGAGGGACAGUCACUUCUGUCUGGUGUUAUUUCACCGCUUUCGUUUCUACUCAAGAAUAUGGUAGUUACUCUCUGCAAGCUACACCCAGCUAAGCUGGCUGUCCAACCCGUAGUGCCGCCCUUGGUCAUGGUCAGCCUUUUUAAGCAUGAGUGGCACACAUAAGACAAGCUACCCCAGGGUCACCCCAGGGCCACCGAGGUGCUUGCUCACUACUGAAGGGGCUGUCGCUGGGAGGGACGAGUAUGGUGUGUGUGUGCUCACUUUCAUGCAUGCCCUGCUUGUGUGUGUGCAAGGGGGGGCCGGGUGUGUGUUGGGGUGUGAGGUUUCGAGAGGGGCAUGUGGGCAACCACUAAAGAGGCUGGGAGUAUGUGGACACCCUUCUGGGGGAAGAGACAUUAUAUUUAUUUAGUCUAACCUGUCAGGGAGUAAGGCUAGGCAUGGUUUGGGGUGAGAGGAGUCACAUACAUGGCCCUGGUGCUAAAGUGUGACGUCCCCAGCCCCAGGCUCUAAGCUGAUAGCGACACAGAACAAAAAAAAAAAAAAAAAAAAAAAAAAAAAAAAAAAAAGCACUUGGCAACAAUUAAUUGCUGAGCUGUGAAGAAAAAUUGUUUUGAAUAUUAAGAUUAUAGAUAUAAUGCUAUUAGAAACACGAUUCGGGGUUUAUGAAAACAUUAUUUAUAUUGAUUUAUUCCAGAGCCAUCAAGACUCCUUGAAAAUAAUUACAGGUGACAUUUCCAUCAGUGAAACCAAACGCUGAUUGUACACAGUGAAAAUGCCAUGCUUGGGGCAGGCUGUGCUCUCGAAAGUAUCCAACAAAGAAUCAGAUUCGAUAGACCCCAGAGCCUGACCCAGGGCCAAGGGGCAGCCUCUGGGCAAAUCACAAGAGGCCUCUCUACUAGAUGCUCUCUGACAUCAGCAACUGUCUCAGAUCUGGCAGGGCCAGCAAGGACUGGCACCUUGCGGCUGGAGCUGGAAUGGAGUUCAGUAAAGCUGUGGGCAGGGAAGGGAGGCUCUAGACACAGAGGUAAGGUGAGUUUGGCUGCUAGGGUGGAGACUUGAGGAGCUGGGCUUUGGGAAGUGGGAAUGAGGGAGAGAGAAGGGAGUGACGAGACCUCCCUGGUGCUUUGAGAAAGAAAACCCUUUUCUCAAGACAGCCCAGCACUGAUCAUUUGCUGGCUUUGGCUUUGCAAGAGCUGUUGUCUCCUCCCAGGGGCCAGUCAGAUCACAGCUGAUCUUGUAUCUUCUGGCCUGGCUAGUCUCAAGCACAUAGAACCAGAGGCCUCUCAUGGUCACUCUGUCACAAUCCUGUGAUGGCCCCCGUGGGAUCCUUUCCACACAGCAGGCUUAGCAGGAUGAUGGUGGGUAGUGAAAUCAAUUUCAUGGGCUGCAACCAGCACAGGAGGCAUUAGGUGAGUCUGUCUGUCGAGUAGACCUCAUCCCAACAUAUGGCAUGCAAGUCAUGAGCUUCUGUUUGCUGGCUGUGGGUCCCGUGUGAUUGGUUUUAUAUAUAUAUAUAUAUAUAUAUAUAUAUAUAUAUAUAUAUAUAUAUAUAUUAUGUAUAUAAAUUGAAUGCUGAUGGAUGCUCACUAUUAAACACUGAGUACAAGACAAUUUUCAGUCCAACGUGGCCCCAAGAAACCAAAAGGUUGGACACCCUGCUCUGGGCUUUUGUCUGGGUUCUUGGAUUCCCAUCCCUUUCUGAGGUGCUGGGACUGAGGGAGUGUGUAUUAGUCAACCUUCAUAGUUACUUUUUUUCUGUGACAAAAUACCCGACAAGAAGCAACGGAACUUUUUUUUUUUUUUGGCUUACAGUUCUAAGGGAUACAGUGCGUGGUGGUAGGGGAGAUAGCAGCCGUGUGAGGCAGCUGGUCACUCGGGACUCACAGUCAGGAAGCAGAGAGAUGAAUGCCAACGUCCAGCUUUACUUCCUCCUUUUUAUACAGCCUGGGACUGCAGCCUAUCGACGGUACCACCACAUUCAUGGUGGACCUUCCCUCCUCAGCUAAACCUUUCUGGGAACACUCUCAAGAGAAUGCCCAGAGGCACGUUUCCAUGGCGAUUUUAAGCCCAGUCAAAUAGAGAUUUCACCAUCACAACUUUUACUCCUGUUGAGUUGUAUUUUGAUUCCAGAUGUGUUCCCAAAUGCUGGAGCAAAUGGGUCAGGCAGGAGGAGCACUGAGAGCAGACCAGAUGUCACCCAGAGCCCCAUCAUGACAGCCCGGCCAGCCUUCAUGUGUGCCUGGCACUCGGCAUGUUUUCCUUUGCCUUGCACAAUCCUACAGGAGAAGUUAGUUGCUAGAUCAAUUUGUACACACGGUCUUCUGCUCUUGAAGCACCUGCACCAGAAUCUGCCCCCGAAAGCCUGCGCAGGCAGCAAGGCCUAGUAUCCUCCUCGUGUCAGGUGUGCAUAGUGCAGCUGCAGGCUUGCAUGAGUAAAGGCCGCCUUCCUUGGGGGUGAGACUCCUGGAUGGCAGGUUCCAAGGUGUCCAGAGGAGCCCAACACAGGCAGAGAGAGACAUGCCCCCCUCAGAGAGCUCUGGUCCCACCUCAAGCUUUCUUACCUCCUAGCACUUCAAACCUGCUCUUCCACAUCACCAAAACCUGUCAGAUCCACUUGGGAUGAUCAAGGCCUUCGGAAGCUGUGCCCAGUCUCCGACCCGGGGAAGGGGCUGAUGGGAAGAGUGAGGAGGUACCUUUUCCUUGCACAAGUAGCCCGAAGGGCUUUGUCUCUGGGAAGCUGGAUCCUCCCAACUCGCAGGAGAGCCCAGGGAGCCCCAGAGAGCAGCCUGAGGGCACCCAUGGCACUUAUUUUAUUCUUCAAUGUCCCUUUGUCUGUUUUCUCUUUCCCAAGAUCCCCUGCUCCCUUUGUGAGGUUCCCGGGGUCUAGGCAGACACCUGCCCUCCUAAGGAUGGAACAUGGGACCUGACUGGGACACCCACACCCAGUGCAGCAGUUGGCUCUGGUGUAGUCUCAUGUGACUUGUCAUGGGACCUGACUGGGACACCCACACCCGGUGCAGCAGUUGACUCUGGUGUAGUCUCAUGUGACUUGUCAUGGGACCUGACUGGGACACCCACACCCGGUGCAGCAGUUGACUCUGGUGUAGUCUCAUGUGACUUGUUACCUGUUGAACUGGGGUGUGUCCUCGGGCAAGACCUUAGUUAUACUGUGUGGGGUUCAAUUAGGAGCUUGAGCAUCUUACCUAGAGCUAAUGCACUGAAGAAAAUGUCCCUCCUCCUUCUGGCAACCAUUAACUUCCUAUAAAUUAUCAAGGAACAGCAGGGCCGCAGGACGAAACCUUGGAAGCACACAGUCCCUAGAGCUCCGGAUGACGUCUUUGCAUCUGCGGUAUAACCUGCAAGCAUCCCCGCCAGGAAGCAUGGGAAGAAAGCCUUCUGCAGGGCCCUCCACAACCCUGGGGGGCCGGGGCGGGGAGGCUUGUCACUCUUGAGGUGCCUGGCUCUGAAGCCUUGCUCUUGUUUCCCCUGGCUAGGAGUCUGACACAAAUCACUGUUUGUCUCCCAUUUGUUCCCAAGGACAAGAGUGGGGACAAGAUGCUUGCCCAUGAAGGAUUAACAUCUGUCCCACUCUUGUCCCAAACAGGACAGCGCCAGCGCUGCCUCCCUCAGUGCUGCCUCGCUCAGCGCCUUGGAGCAGGGAGGCUGCUGGGGUCUUCCCGUCUGGACAGGAGUACCUGGCACCCGGAGGUGUGUGACCCUCCCAAGGGAGUCCCACAGAAGCCUGGGCGAGCCUCGCUCACCAUGACCUUGAACUCCCAAGUCUCUUCCCCUCAGGAGAGGAUUUACUAGGAUGCUGACAUCUUUGUGUGUUGCUGUAUUAGAAAAUGUUAAAGGUUUUUAAAAGAUUUUCGAAAGGGUCUCUCUCUCUGGGUGUGGCUUAAGGUCAUUAAGAGGUGAGUACGGAACAAGCCCUGUGUACACAUAGGGCUCGCUCUUCAGUGUGAGCAGUGAGCCAGCCACUAAGGCUCCGCUUCGGGGCAGACAGUGAGUGCUGCUGGCACCGACAGCCGACAGCCGGGGAGGAAGCUUCUAGACACGUAGCAGGAGGGGCUACAGGUCUCUCGGCACUUGAUCUACAGCAAGGCAUCGGGAAUCACUCCUGGACGCGCUCAUACAAGAGUGCUUUACCAGUUCUUUUGACAGUUCUACCCUCCACAAACAAAUUGUCUCUGCUUAAACUGCACAGGCAGGCUCCACCCAGUGGAGUCCUUUGAGUGGAGCAGGGGCCCUACUGCAGGUCAAGGGCCUUGCCUGCCUGCCGUCUGGAUGCCCUAGCUUCACACAGGAGGUAACAGCUUCAGUAGCACAACGCCUGUGCCCUCUGGGAGUCCUGGGCUUCUACUGCUUGGCUUGGGUUUCCAGGAAGUUUUUAAAACCUGGCCAAGCAGCUGAGGGCAUCCACGUCCAGGGACUGCACAGCAACCUGGCUCUGGGAGGCAAGGAUCACGGUUCACAACUGCUGAUGCAGAACCCCAUGGCAUCUCCUUUGGGCAAGAAAGGGCCUUAUGAAGGGCCCCAGGCAGCUGGCACAGCACUGGAAAAUUAGACUACAAACCAGACUGGCUGGGCUUCCAGCAGCUCCCAGCUCCGAAGCAGGGACUAGAAAGCUGCCAGGUGAGCAUUUUGAGACCAUUGCAGAACACAGUCCCAAACCAAAGUGUCUUGGGAUCUGAUUGGCAGGAGACCAAUCAACCUGGACUCUAAGGAUUGUGGGAAAUGUAGUUGGCUUCACCACCCACCCAGUACAGAAAGGGAAGUGCAGUGGAGGAGGGCAGGACUGAAGUCUCACAGUGAGAAGCAGGAUCAUGGGGUCCCUCUCCCCUGACCCUUAACCCUCUGUGGACUGGCUGGCAGGGUGGUCAUGUGACAAGCACAAUAAGAAAUGGGGGAGUAUACAGGCGGAGAGUAGGCAAUCAACAAUAGGACAGACGUGAUUAUUGCCAGUAGUGUGGAUGAGCAUAUAACCACUAUGAACAAGAGGGUCUUUCCUUGGUCCAGGGAAGAAAGGGCAUGGUGAGCUGUACCAUUCUGGGAGGUGUUCACACAGGGUAGAUCUGUCUAGAGUGGUUUUGAACGUAUCUCGUGCCCUAGAGGCCUCCUUGCCUGUCCACCCAGCACCAGGGUGACUGAACCUAUACACUCAGGCACUAUUCUACACCUUGUCCAAGGAGUCUAAGUCAAGAAGGGACCUAUGAGGGACAUGUGAAGAACCCUGAAGUGCCUGUGAGCCCUGGGGACAGUGUGGCUGUACAAAAAGGACACUUUGGAACAGGGCCACGGCGGCCCCCCUCAUUCUCCCAGCUGCAGUUAACCUGAGGAGUGGGGUACCUCACCCUAACAGUUGCUCUUCCUGUGCGUCCCCACUUUGGUGGAAUGUGGUUCAGAAGCCUCUGCCUGGCCACAGAGGCUUCUGACAAAGCCGUAGGGGGCCAGGAGUUAAAGUGUGAGGGGGAUUGCUAACUUCCUUAAGUAUGGGUUACCAAAAGAAUGACAGACUUGAUAUCAAACUUGAUAUUCAAGUCACAGACUAAGAGGGAGGGAAACCAAGGCUUUGGUGCCUGGGGUGGUGCCUGGGGUGGAGUGAGCCUGCCAUGUCUCUUACACAGCCCCCCACCUCCAGCCCUCUCAGACACUCCUCCAUGCCCGGGCUGCAGUAUGUCCGCUGCCUUCUCUGUCUGCCUCUUUCUGCUCCUUAGUGCCAGCGUGCUGGCUGGCACCUCAUGGGUGUUGGCUAAAUGUUUGCAGAUUAAGCCGAGCCAUCUGCAUGGUUAAUCUGCCUGUCUCCUAUCACCAGGACUUGGCAUUUGCUGGCUGGCAGGGGCUGGCUCCUUUUUUUUUUUUCCUUCUAAAUUUAUUGACAUUAAGAUUGGAGGGUAUUUAAAUGGGUUUGGAUAAUCCCAGCCUCAGGUGGAGAGAGGACUCGGCUGUGGUCUCGACAUCUUCAUCGGUCGCACCAAAUACCUCCUUCACCUGUUCCAUGUGAUCCCCACAUCCCUCUCCUCCCUCUGUGGUUGGUCCUCUCUUUUUCUACCUAGACUGAUGACAGGGAAGGGACACACCCUUGGUCUUCCGUGCCUUCAUAUUUGCACCUUCAGAGCUUCAGGAAGCUGCCAGGCACCAAUUCCCCAUGUCCCCAAGCUCCCCUAUUCCAUGCGUAAUUCAGCUGCCUCUGCCCUGACCCCUGGGAACAUGGUGGCAUGAGGUAAUCCACUCUCGAAGGCCUGAAUUGCAAUACGUUGAGGAUAUCUCAGUGUAUGUGAUAAGCCCAAUAAAGAAAUGACUGGUCAGGCCCACAGUUGGCUCAGGACCCUGUGCCAGGAGGGUGUCCAGAACUCUCUGGGCAGCACACUGGAAGCCCUGUAGUGGAUCUGGCUGCACCGUGGCACACAAUACACCGGGGGGACCAUGAUGCUUAUUGCUGAAGAGGGUUUUGCUGUGGUUGUUGGAUAACAUGGCAGCACACAACACCAAGAGCCAUCCAUCUCCACAAGGUUUCCACGCCUGGGUGUUGUUAGUUAAAGCUGUUUGGUGCUUGAGCAGGUCUCCUGGUGGACUAAUGCCAUUGUCCCUGUCUGCUGAAAUAAGAGGCAGAGUCCAUCUCAGAAGCAAGUGUGCGGCUGGGGCUGAGGCUGAGCACGAGUAGUGCGGUAGUGACCAGAGAGGUCACUUGUCCUCUUGUCACGGGUGUGACUAGGAUGUUGGGUGAUUUAAAACAGCUAAGCAAGAAACAGGUGCCUGGCUCUGUGGGGACGAGACUAUGGGCCAAGGCCUGAUCUUGGGGAUUUCCGAUCACUUCUAAAGUGCUCGACAUAUCUUCUGCCUGGCCUCGGUUCCAGAAAUGCUGCGUGGGCCAAGAAGAUCUGCUUUACCCGCUUCCGUUAGCCUGGAGAUAGUCUGGCGUGGGGCAGGAGGAGGAGAGGGGAGAGAAGCAAUGACGUAAUACCAGUAGCAGCUGUCUGUCUGUCCGUCUGCUGAUUGCAGGGGAGUGGCAGAGGCUGCCUCCUCUACAACUCAGCCCUAGGCGAGACGCCAAGCACUGUGGGUCUCCCUGUUUUCAUCCAGAGUGAGGAGAACUGAUAUACAGCAAGACUUACUUGAGCAACACUUAAGUCGAGAAAAGUUUGUGGAGUAGGGCCUGGCACUGGAGACCGUGGGGCAGUGCUGCUAAGACCUUUCUUUAAGCUUCACACGUGUCUGGAAGGCAAGUUCAAUGGCAUUUCUCAGUGGCCCAGAGGAAAGUCAUGUCCCUGCUGUCACAGCCAACAAGUGGCAGAAGUAGGAUUUGAACCCAGGAGACUCUUGCCCCAAAUCCCAGAUGAAAGGGCCCAGGCUCAGGUUGAGCCUGUCUUCUGCACUUAGACACAAGUUAUUUUCUGCCCAGCCUUUCCUGGAGGCAAGGGGGUUGAUGAACCCCAUAGACUAGACAGACAGUGAGGAUGGGUGUGGCUGAGUGACAUGGCCCUGGGCCUCCCCACAGAGAGGGCUCCCUGAAAGUUGCAGACCUGGACCAAACUCUAGUGGGAGUUCACUUGAUGAAGUAGAAUCUAAGAAAAGUGAGCACUCCUAUCUCGUCUGCUCACUUGUCUUUAGAAUUUGUCGCUCCUGCAGCUGAUCAUCACCCCCAUCAAGAUACAGAACACUUCCAUUGCCCCCCAAAAGUUCCCUCCUGAAAGGUUUCCAGCCAGUAGUACCCCCUCCCCAACACACACACAGACACACACAUCCCACACCAAAUACCCACCAUGGGCUGAGUUUUAAAAGAUUAGUGGGAACUAACAAGGAGAAGGAAAUGUCGAAGGCAGCGGGCCCUGAAGAGCGAGCGGGCCAGUGGGAGUGCCGGUCUAUUAGUGUGAGUGUCACGGAGCAGCCAUCACUGAGGCCAGCCAUGACAUCAGAGAGAUUGUGUAAGAAAAGAGCCUGCAGCCUUGGGAGAAGCUGCGACUUCAUGCCAAAGGAUCAGGAACCCAAACUGCAAAGACGCCCACUUGGAAGUGUGACUGGAGGUCACAGCAGUGGCGGGUGAGUGAAAAGCAGAGAAAGCCAGGCUGUGAGGGAGCAGAGGCCAUCACAGCCAUGCGGGGAGCGGAGGAGAUCACGGACAGCUCAAACACCCCCACUUGGCCCCUUUAGACUGCUGCCCACAUGUGCGGGCCCCGCUGAUUUUUUUGUUUGUUUGUUUUUCAAGCAAAACAAGAAGUCUAGAUUCCUAAGAGUCAUCUUUGGAUUUAAAAAAAAUUGAGAAAUAGACUUAAAUCUCUCUGAAAUAGGAGCUUCUGCAAACUACCAGUUGGAGGAUCCUAUGGAGGGGGUGGGGAAUGUAACCAAGAGAAGGGCAGGUUUCUCCCAGGAAAUGUACUUUCUGAGUACUAAGUUUCCCUCAAACAUGUACAAACACACCUGGGUAGCACCCCCUCACCCCGUGAAGACACGAAUCAGCCCAGUGGCUGUGAGGGUGGCUACAUGACGAUUGUAGAGGCAGCCAAGAGGAGCAAGAAGCUAGGGAAAGGAAAGGCCAGUUGGCUGGGCCUCGAGGAUGUACUCUUUCCCGUGCCCACAGGGUCCUGUGUCCUUUAGAAGUCCUGGUCACAGGACCAUGUGUGUGACAUGUGACCUUCCAGAAUGUGUGGGAGAUGCCCUGGUAAACAGAUCACCCUCCUGAAGGGUCGGGUCAGUGCUCCCCUGUGUCCCUUGAUAUUCUCCCACCUUGCAUAGCACCCAGCAUACACUGGAUGGCUCCGGAUGUUAGACCCACUCAGGUGGACAUCCUCAAAGCCACACGCACAUGUGGAGUCUCUCCCAGUCUAACGUAUGACCGGAGCAGCCACUCCUGGGGCGGCUAGGAAUAGGCCUGGUUCGUGAGUCUCCCCUGAGAUAAGUGACUUAGGUUUAGUUUAAUACCUGGGAAGCCUCUGUGAUGCUGGGGCAGGGUGGGAAGGGUCCUGUCAAUUGGACUUGUCCGAAAGGCAACAAAAGGCAAGGCAACAGUGGGCCGAGGCCGAAGAUGUCACAAGGGAGAGGGUUGAAGCCCCAGUCACUGGAAUGUGAGGGAGAGUGGCCAAAGCAGGGAGCAGAGAAAGAGUGGAGGAGACGUGGGUAGAGACUGGGUCCUGCUGUCACACUGGGGACCAUGAAUUUUGCUUCUGAAGAUAGAGCCACGGUGAGGGUUAGAGAAGAGGGUGUGGUCCUGAGGCCUUCAGUACCCUCUUUUCUGUAACGAGGAGAUGAGGGAAGGAGUUGUAAGGCCACUUGGCAGCCGCAGCCCCGCGAGGGCCAGCAAGAGCAAAAGGCGGGGAUUGGGGGUGGGUGUAGCUCAGUGUGGACUGCCCUGGGCUCAUCGUGAAGGUGGAGGUGAGAGGGCUUAUCUGCUUAUGAGUGGCACAUGCUACACAGAGACGGGGAAGGCUGCCGGUGCCUGUGCAGGCCCAAGCAAAUCCUCUGGUGGUACACCGGGUUGCACAUCAACCCUUGUCCCUGUGCCGCAGCCAAUGCUGCCUCUUCUCUCCGGCCCUGGUCUCACUGCGGUGCUUCGGGCACCUGGUGGUGAAAGUAGGAGGAGCAGGGCCGGUGGGCGGCCCUUUACCUUCCUGUUUCCAUUGUGCGGAACGUCCCCGGUCUAACUCCCCAAGCUCGAACUCUGUAGUGUUUUCCAGGCAUUUCGACCUCUAGCCGCAAACUCUCUGCGUGCAUAGGCAACUCUGCCGUCUUUUCUAUCAGAAGAGAAUCGAGUGAACCUUCUGAGUUUUCAGCUUUCCCUCCAAACUUUUUCAAAAUAGUAUAUGUGAAGACGGCAAAGCAAAACCAGAACCCCCCCACCCCACCCCCACCCCCGGAACACAGCAGCAGCAGCUGAAGCAGUAGCGGCGGCUGCCAUUUUGCCAGUCCACUUAAGCAACAUUGCUAAUGCUAACCCCUCAUAAUCUGCUGUUUCCUCUACCACAUUAGAAGCAGAGCUACCCAUUAUACCUAAGCCACGUUGGUGCCGCCUGGAGGCAUUCAUUUUUUGCAACCUACUUUUAAUGAGGGUUCAACCUGUCCUCCAGCCCACCACCCAGCAGAGGCAGGGGAAGAGAAACGUUAUUAGAAUCUGGGAGAAGUGGACCUGCUCAGCAAUAGUUCUUUGGGGGCGAGCUGGAUCUUUUUUGGCAGCAGGGCUGUGCGGAGAGAUGGAGAAGUGUUGGGUUGCUUGUGUGAGGAGAGGUAGAGAAAGGCAGGAGUGGAGACAGGCCAGCAGCACAGAUUGGAUGAGAGUAGGCCCCACUCCAAUGGGGAUCACCUCUCAGUGCUCUGCCAUUUAAUCCUUACAAGAACAAUGGGGGUGCGAGGUGCUCCUUCCUCGGAGAGAACACUGCAGCAGCAUAACCUAUCCCUUUGCCCAACUUCCUGCUCUAUGCCCCGCCCCCCUCACAGUUCUAAAGCCCCUGGGUAGCCAGGACUCAGGAGGCAGAGGCAGUGUGCAGAAGCUACUGGAAAGUCUGGGCUUUCCUAUGUUGCGUUCUCGGAGCUUGAGAUGUCGUCAAUGAUGACAGGGAUUGAAGAGGGAGAAGUGGCUGGGUGACCUUGUCUCCAGGCUGCCAGGGGCUCUGGAGACCCUCUGAGCUCCAAAGUAGCAAAGCACACAAGGACACUAGGCCACCCUGACAGGAGGUCCCUAAAGAGUCCUAAAGGUGGCCCAGAAGCCAGAUCUUUGUAGCUGUAAAGAAGAGAAAAGCUGGACCGGUGGACAGCAAGUGCAUGGGGGCUGGUUUACGUGGGUUGGAAGAGCCGGCCGCUGGCACCUCUGUGUGGCUUCAGAUAGGAGUUGGCACAAACUCCACAGUAGUUACGCACCAGGACCAACAGACAGAAGAGCCCUCUUCUCCCCCAGAGCGUGUGUGAUAUUUAUUGGCCGCCACCCUGGGAUGUCCAGGGAGGGGCUGGCUGGGACGGCUCUAACGUUCCUGUUGGUGGCAGCGAGGAUGAAGGAAGGAGUCGUUCUUCACACCUCUACGCUGCCGCCUGUGUCCUGAGCAGGUCCCUUAAUCUCUUAGGAACCUCCGCUCAGGUAAAACUGAAUCCUCGGUCUCAGAAAAGAAAUUGAGGAUGAGCCAAUAUGAAUCCUUAAGACGGGAAAGGCUCUAAGGCAGAGAGAAUCCUGCUUGCAAGCACAAGUGUGGGCUUCUCAUGAGUCACGCCCUCAGCGUCACGGCCGUAGAUGGGUAGAACAUUUUGGCCUCUCUUUAGUUACAUUUUGAAAGAUUUCUAAGAAAAGUUCCCCCUCAAUAAUGAGAUUAUUAGAAAGGUUGAAGGGGGCACUGGGCUGGAUGGUUGGAGGGCAGGAAGUUUACUAGAAGAGUUGUUGACACCACGGGCAGACAGCCACACAGAGAGGCUCUGAGGAGGAGGCAAAGCCAUGAGGCAAAUGGCGGGAAGGGGGCCUUAUAGUUCUGAGGAAGACUCUCCGAUUCCCCAGCAGGCUACAGGGUAGGUGUGUGAGCACCCUACCCCUUUGAUGCUUCUGAGCCUGCAAACUCAUUUCCCCAGCAGAGAGACCUGGGGACCUGGAAGUCCAUUGGCUCUUAAAAGGGUGCCACCCUGUCAGUGCCUAUGGAGCUGGGGAGAGAGCGGCAGCUUGGCCUGGGCUCUGAGAAUUGUAGCACAGCUACAGAGGUCCCUUGGGUGGGGUUCCAGUCAUUGGGGAAGUUAGGGUUACUCAAGGGUUUGGGACACAUUCUCAACUUAUCAGACAUAGAGUUUCUAUGCAAAGUGUAGGUUUCUGGCUGGGAGGAAGAGAGGUGUGCAUGUCAGUCUUUGAGCAAGAUUAGCUGCUCUUUUGACGUGCUCUCUUGAAAUAUCUGUUGGGGCUGAGAAGACCUAGGGAGGGAAAAGGGCUCAUCCCAAAAUUUGAGGGCCUGAGUUCAAAUCCUGUACAAGCAAAGCUCUUGGGAGGUAGAGACAGGCAGCUCUCUGGGACCUGGUGGCCAGUCUAGCUGAAUUGGCGAACCCAACAUCAGCAUGAGACCCAUUUUGGAAGGGGUCUAGCAUAGUGGCACAUGCCUUUAAUCCUAGCACUCAAGCAGAAACGGCAGGGGGGAUCUGUGUGAGUUCAAGGCCAGCCCGGUCUACAAAUCGAGGUCCAGGAUAGCCAGGGUUGCAUAAAAAGACCUUGUCUCCUUGUCUCGAUGAAACAAAAACGGAGAGGAGAGGAGAGGAGAGGAGAGGGGAGGAGAGGAGAGGAGAGGAGAGGAGAGGAGAGAGAGAGAGAGAGAGAGAGAGAGAGAGAGAGAGAGAGAGAGAGA